UGUUUCCUACGGGGGGCAGCAGUCGGGAAUAUUGCGCAAUGGAGGAAACUCUGACGCAGUGACGCCGCGUAUAGGAAGAAGGUUUUCGGAUUGUAAACUAUUGUCGUGAGGGAAGAAGAUGACAGUACCUCAGGAGGAAGCUCCGGCUAACUAUGUGCCAGCAGCCGCGGUAAUACGUAGGGGGCAAGCGUUAUCCGGAUUUACUGGGUGUAAAGGGAGCGUAGACGGCAUGGCAAGUCUGAAGUGAAAGCCCGGGGCUCAACCGCGGGACUGCUUUGGAAACUGUUAAGCUGGAGUGCAGGAGG
This 305-nucleotide ribosomal RNA is filed under the name uncultured bacterium. RNAcentral describes it as "bacterial SSU rRNA". It matches the Rfam family "Bacterial small subunit ribosomal RNA", at positions 333 to 655 of the family's 1533-position model. The record is from RNAcentral.